ACACGCAUGACACACUGCAUAUCAAUAAGCGGAGGAAAAGAAACUAACUAGGAUUCCCUUAGUAACGGCGAGUGAAGCGGGAAGAGCUCAAAUUUGAAAUCUUCAAGGUUCUACCUUGACGAAUUGUAGUUUAAAGAAGUGUUUUCUGUUGGAGUUUUGGUAAAAGUUCUUUGGAAUAGGACAUCAUAGAGGGUGAGAAUCCCGUAUUUGGUCAUUCCUCCUAGCGUUGUGAUACACUUUCAACGAGUCGGAUUGUUUGGGAAUGCAGUCCAAAAUGGGUGGUAAAUUUCAUCUAAAGCUAAAUAUUGGCGAGAGACCGAUAGCGAACAAGUACCGUGAGGGAAAGAUGAAAAGAACUUUGAAAAGAGAGUUAAACAGUACGUGAAAUUGUCAAAAGGGAAGCGUUUGACACCAGUGUUGUUUUUCCGAAAAUCAAUUACGAAUGUUUUAUUUUUGAGAAGUUAUGACUUCAUCGGCUUGCUUCUCUCUUUAUGAAACUUUCUUAAUGCACUUUUCGGUUAACAAGUCAACAUCAAUUUCUUUUGUUGUAAAAGGGUAUGAGGAAGGUGGCUUUCUUUUCGGAGAAAGUGUUUAUAGCCUUGUACCUCUGCAAUCGGAGAGAUUGAGGUCUGCAGCGUAGAUCCUUCGGGGUUAGAUACAUUUGUGCUAAGUUAUAGCUUUUCAUAGACAACUUGUUGACUAUGUUUAGUCUUGUAGCUUACUCGCUUAUGCUAUUUUACCUACGCUUAGGAUGUUGAAGACUCUACAGAGAUA
This 774-nucleotide ribosomal RNA is filed under the name uncultured Neocallimastigales. RNAcentral describes it as "partial large subunit ribosomal RNA". It matches the Rfam family "Eukaryotic large subunit ribosomal RNA", at positions 23 to 632 of the family's 3401-position model. Lineage: Eukaryota; Fungi; Neocallimastigomycota; Neocallimastigomycetes; Neocallimastigales. The record is from RNAcentral.